This is a non-coding RNA of Theileria orientalis strain Shintoku, 46 nucleotides long. The record is from Rfam. Lineage: Eukaryota; Apicomplexa; Aconoidasida; Piroplasmida; Theileriidae.
AUAAAGGCUUCACUCGAAGCCAUCACCUGUAAUAUAGUAUUGAAAU